Molecule: ribosomal RNA, 254 nt
Filed under: uncultured bacterium
Lineage: Bacteria
Description: partial 16S ribosomal RNA
Rfam family: Bacterial small subunit ribosomal RNA
Source: RNAcentral
UACGUAGGGCGCAAGCGUUAUCCGGAAUUAUUGGGCGUAAAGAGCUCGUAGGCGGUUCGUCGCGUCGGCUGUGAAAACCUGAGGCUCAACCUCAGGCCUGCAGUCGAUACGGGCGGACUUGAGUACUGCAGGGGAGACUGGAAUCCUGGUGUAGCGGUGGAAUGCGCAGAUAUCAGGAGGAACACCGGUGGCGAAGGCGGGUCUCCUGGGCAGUAACUGACGCUGGAGGAGCGAAAGCGUGGGGAGCGAACAGG